GUGGGGAAUUUUGGACAAUGGGCGAAAGCCUGAUCCAGCCAUGCCGCGUGAUAGAUGAAGGCCCUCUGGGUUGUAAAUAUCUUUUAUCUGGGAAGAAACUCCUCUAUUCUUAGAGGCCUGACGGUACCAGAGGAAUAAGCACCGGCUAACUCCGUGCCAGCAGCCGCGGUAAUACGGAGGGUGCAAGCGUUAUCCGGAUUCACUGGGUUUCAAGGGUGCGUAGGCGGGUGGAUAAGUCAGUGGUGAAAGCUCCGGGCUUAACUUGGAAACUGCCAUUGAUACUGUCAAUCUUGAAUGUCGUAGAGGUAAGCGGAAUGUUGCAUGUAGCGGUGAAAUGCUUAGAUAUGUUACAGAACACCAAUUGCGAAGGCAGCUUACUAUGCGAUAAUUGACGCUGAGGCACGAAAGCGUGGGGAGCAAACAGGAUUAGAUACCCUAGUAGUCC
RNAcentral lists this ribosomal RNA (445 nucleotides) under uncultured bacterium. RNAcentral's name for it is "partial 16S ribosomal RNA". It matches the Rfam family "Bacterial small subunit ribosomal RNA", at positions 354 to 796 of the family's 1533-position model. The record is from RNAcentral.